RNAcentral lists this ribosomal RNA (468 nucleotides) under uncultured bacterium. RNAcentral's name for it is "partial 16S ribosomal RNA". It matches the Rfam family "Bacterial small subunit ribosomal RNA", at positions 28 to 507 of the family's 1533-position model. The record is from RNAcentral.
GAUGAACGCUGGCGGCGUGCUUAACACAUGCAAGUCGAACGGAAAGGCCCUGCUUUUGUGGGGUGCUCGAGUGGCGAACGGGUGAGUAACACGUGAGUAACCUGCCCUUGACUUUGGGAUAACUUCAGGAAACUGGGGCUAAUACCGGAUAUGAGCUCCUGCUGCAUGGUGUGGUUUGGAAAGUUUCGGCGGUUGUGGAUGGACUCGCGGCUUAUCAGCUUGUUGGUGGGGUAGUGGCUUACCAAGGCUUUGACGGGUAGCCGGCCUGAGAGGGUGACCGGCCACAAUGGGACUGAGAUACGGCCCAGACGGCUACGGGAGGCAGCAGUGGGGAAUAUUGCGCAAUGGGCGGAAGCCUGAUGCAGCAACUCCGCGUGCGGGAUGACGGCCUUCGGGUUGUAAACCGCUUUCGCCGGUGACGAAGCGGGAGUGACGGUAAUGGGUAAAGAAGCACCGGCUAACUACGUG